UAUAAAAUAAACUACAAAGAUAUAUUGUAAACACAGGGAAUAUAGUAAAUAUUUUAUAAUAACUAUAAAUGGAGUAUAACCUUUAAAAAUUGUGACUCACUAUAUUGUAUACCUGUAAUUUAUAUAAUAUUAGACAUUAUUUAUUUAUUUUUGCUGUGCUGGGUCUUAGUGGCGGCAUGCGGAUUCUUCAUUGCCAUAUGUGGGAUCUUUUAGUUGCGGCAUGCAGACUUUUAGUUGCAGCAUGCAUUCCCCAACCAGGGAAUCGAACCCCGGCCCCCUGCAUUGGGAGUGUGGAGUCUUACUCACUGGACCUCCAGGGAGGUCCCCUGAAACUUAGUAUGUUAAUCCAUGAAAAUGAUAAUAAUGAUAAUAGCUAAUAUUUAAUAUGUAUUGCUCAUUGAAUAUAUGUCAGGCAUUAAGAAGUACUUUACAUAUGUUAGUUCAUUUAAUAGUAAAUCAUGGAGUUGUUGCUUUCGUUAUCAUUAUGAUGAUUGUUUUAUUUUUAUUUAUUAUUUAUUAUUUACUUAUUUAUAUCUUUUGGCCCCAUGGCAUGCAGGAUCUUAGUUCUUGGACCAGGGAUCAAACCCAUGCCCCUUGCAGUGGAAGCACGGAGUCCCAACCACUGGACCACCAGAGAAGUCCCACGAUGAUCGUUUUAAAGGCCCAUGAAGGAAGAUUCCAUAUAUAUGUGUGUGUUAGCAUACGGUAUUAGACAUUUCUCCAAAGAAGAUAUACAGAUUGCCAACAAACACAUGAAAGAAUGCUCAACAUCAUUAAUCAUUAGAGAAAUGCAAAUCAGAACUACAAUGAGAUAUCAUCUCACACCAGUCAGAAUGGCCAUCAUCAAAAAAAAUCUACAAACAAUAAAUGCUGGAGAGGGUGUGGAGAAAAGGGAACCCUCUUGCACUGUUGGUGGAAAUGUAAAUUGAUACAGCCACUAUGGAGAACUGUAUGGAGGUUCCUUAAAAAACUACAAAUAGAGCUACCAUACGACCCAGCAAUCCCACUACUGGGCACAUGCCCUGAGAAAACUAUAAUUCAAAAAGAGUCAUGUACCACAAUGUUCAUUGCAGCUCUAUUUACAAUAGCCAGGACAUGGAAGCAACCUAAGUGUCCAUCGACAGAUGAAUGGAUAAAGAAGAUGUGGCACAUAUAUACAAUGGAAUAUUGCUCAGCCAUAAAAAGAAAUGAAAUUGAGUUAUUUGUAGUGAGGUGGAUGGACCUAGAGAAUGUCAUACAGAGUGAACAGGACCCGAAAUACUGGGAAAUCUCAAUCUAAGAUAAACAAAAUGUUUCAUGAGAAUCCAGAGAUGACAUUUAGUAAACCAUCAGAAUGGAGAGAGCCGCCCUGAUCUCCAGCAGCACCAAGAAGGUUAUCAACAUUCAUUCAUAUAUUUAAUGUCUAUUAUGUAAGACCAUUUCAUGAGAAAAGGAAGAGACUGAAGGUUUGACCCUUCCUUUGACAAGUGAGGAACACAGACCUGGACAGGUGAGUUAGCUGACCGUGGUUAUUCAGUGACCCAAGCCAAGACCAAGGUGUUUGACUACCGAUAAGACAGAGGUGUGAAGAUUUCUCUACUUCUGAGACUGAUCCAACACUGCAGAGCUGUCAUCAAACAUUAUACCUCAAAUUCGUCCUCCUUUCGCUCACAGGCCCUGGUCCUCACUCCUCUGUAUCACAGACAACCUGGAUGCACCUUGUCCCUCUUCUGGCCUCCUCACUUCCUUACCUCUGCCCUUAUAAACUUCUUCCCAGUUCUAUAAACUUGCCAGUUCUUACCAGGCUCAGGUCACACUAAAGACCUGCCCUGAAGGCUCUUCUCCAGACACCACAUGGCUCUGCUCGCUCUCUCUCUACAUCCAGGUCUCUGCUCAAAUGUCAUCUCCUCAGAGAGGGCUUCCUCGACCACCUUCUCUAAAACAACACCCCAUGAGUUCUUCAUUCACUAUUUUUAUUAAAAAAACAUCAAUCAAAUAUCUUCUGAAACUUUAUUUUGAAGUGUAAUGCAUAUACUGAACCAUGCAGGAACCACAAAGCACUCCUCAACCUUCUGGAACUCCAGUGCCUGCAACCAGACUGUCCCCGACAUGGGGUCUUCCCUCCUUGACCCUACCUGACCUGCAGGACUUAAUUGCUGAGAAACAGGAGGAGGAAGAGAGAAAACAUUUCCUUAACCCUUUGAUUCACGUAUGGUCAGAACCCAGGGAACUGGUCUGUCUUGUUUCCAGUGGAAGGUACAACUCUGAGUGAGAAAAAAAGGAGCCGCUCUAUCCUUGAUGUGGGGACCAUCUCUGAUUCCUCUUUACUUCCCCUUUUGACUCCCUCAAGGCACUCAGCAAAUGUCAGCUAAUGAAUAAAUGAGAAAUGUGUUGUUGGCUAAAAAGACAGUAUUUAAGAUUCUGCAGAUUAAAUAUUUGUACCUAGUGCAUAGUAUGGUACCUAGUAGGGGUUCAUUAAUUACUGAAGACAAUGACAUUUCAACCAUUUUAUUAAUUCAUUCAGCAAAGUAUGUAUCAAACCUCAACCAUGUCUUGGGCAAUCUGUAAGAACACAUGGUUUAAUAAAAGGCUGAUUCACACGUGAUCUCUACUUUGUAAGAAUCUGAGUGGGGUCUAGAAUAAGUAGGAUACAUAUAACAAUGACAGAUAAUUGAAAGCAGCAAGUGCUGAUAGGACUGCCCGUCAAGGGUUUUGAGUUUGAAGAAGUUAGAGCAAAGCAAGGAAGCUCUUUUCCCCUUAAACUGGUUUCCUUGGAUAUCCUUUUUCAUGCUUAUCCCGGCAACCUCAUGGCCUCGAACUUUCCUUCUUAAUGGGUUAAUGCCAAAUCUCUUUGUUCUGAUUUGUCUCUUGGUUUCCAUCCUCCUCUCAGACAUCAUCUCUAUUGAGAUUCUGCCUGCACUGCAAACUCCAUAUAUCAAAAACAGAAGUCAUAAUUCUCUGCCAAUCUAACCUUGCCUUCUUGAAGAUGGGAGGAAAAAAAAAAAAACAUGAUACAGGGCAAUGAGUUGGGAAUUCAUAGCAUUCAGAGACAGGGAGGCAUGGACAGAGACAGCAAAGAUGACGACUCAAUAAAAG
Molecule: long non-coding RNA, 3075 nt
Organism: Globicephala melas (long-finned pilot whale)
Lineage: Eukaryota; Metazoa; Chordata; Mammalia; Artiodactyla; Delphinidae
Source: RefSeq, a predicted model, not a curated record